Molecule: small RNA, 3230 nt
Filed under: Rattus norvegicus (Norway rat)
Lineage: Eukaryota; Metazoa; Chordata; Mammalia; Rodentia; Muridae
Description: uncharacterized LOC102551666
Source: RNAcentral
CUGAAGGCUGACUCUGUAGCUCAGUUGAGAGCACUCGCCUAGCAUGCCCCCAGCAUAGCAUAAAUCCAACAAACAUGCCUAUGAUCUUGGCACUUGGGAGGUAGAGGAGCAGAGAUGUUAGAGUCAUCCCUGGCUACAUAAAAAGGAAACUGAGGCAGAGAGGAAAAAUCAAUUAAGACAGUCAUCUGGGACAGAGUCAUCGCUUAGACCCUCCCCCUCACCCCCUCUUGUUUUCAUGGAGAUGGUAGACUGAGGGGUCCAUUCACCCUGGGAUAAGUCCUUGAUGAUAGCAGAGGAGUCUGUGAGGUAUUGCCAAGCCCAGACAGCACCAUGGAGAGACAAGAACAUAUGGCAGUUGUCCCAGGAUGACAGUGUGACCCAGGACACCAAGAACAUGGGACUUGCAGCUCUGAGUUUUUGGACAACAGGACUCCUGUGCACUGGCCCAGCAGAUGGACUGGUCCCUGUCAUGGAGGGCCUUCUCUGAGCUCCAUGGCACCAAUGAUGGUGUGACAUAGCAGGUAUCCCAGGAUGACCUUGAACUCCUGAUCCUUCUGCCUCCACCCCCUGAAUGCUGACAUUGUGGGCUUGUAUCACAACUGGCUUCUGGCUGGGUCCUGUUAACUUCUGAAGACUAAGUGAAGUAGAUCUUAGGAAAUGUCAUGGCUGCAAAGAUUCUGAAGCAAGAGAAGAGAGAGCAGACAGGCAGGUGGAUGGGGCAGAUGAUGGCCCAGGCUGUGACCUAUGGAAGCCCUUGAGGAGUGGAGCGAGGGAAGCUAUGGCCUUCUGUCCCCGGUACUUGGCUGAUCAGAGCACCUAGAGACUGAGAAACCUGGAGGCACGGUAAAAAGCACGCCCAAAGGCCUGUCACCUGGAUGAUUCUAGAACCUUCCACGUUGAUGAUUAGCCAUCAGGAACAGUGGUCCUGGAGCAAGCUGGGGUGGGGCUCUGCCCAUUUUAGAGGAUACUAGGAGUUCUCUAAAGAGUAGUUCCUGGGGGUUCUCCAUCUAAGGAAGAAACCACUCAGCUCAGAGACCAGUGCACCUAAAUUGGUUCUUCUCUCAGCCAACCAGUUCAAAAAUCAUCUCCUCUGCGAAGACUUCAUGAAUACAUCCCCUUCUGCUCCUUCUAAAAUCUACCCACUGCCCCUCCUGAGGAGCCCUACAGCACACUGUUCAAGCCCACUACAUACUAAUGGAAAGGAAACUGUUCGUUGAAAGCCUGGUGUUCCAGGCCUUCAGUAACUGCUGACCAGGCAUCCGUCAUGGCAGACACUCAGCUGGAUGCCACACAUACACAGCAGUGACCAAAUCCAGAGCUAGGUCCUUCAGAAAGUCACAGCCUUCUUGGGAUCAUUCACCUGGCCUUGCCCUGACUGCCUUGCUCAACAUUUAAAAGCACACUUUUUGUGAUCCAGAGACUGAACAUUUUCUGUCACAUCUACAUCAAUGAAGCUUACAAAAAAAUGCCGACUUCCGGGGUCCCGAAGAUCAUGACGCCUACUUAUGCUCAUUACAUGAUAUUCACUUGAAAUUUCUUAGCCUUUGCCCAAUUAGCUUCCGUGGACAGCCAUGUAUGAGCAUGGUGCUGCUCCCUGGCCUCUGCCCCGUGAGACUCAUCUCAUCCACGGGUUCCCAGUUCACUCCUGCCUGAGGCGUAGACCAGGCAGUGGUGUAGGUGGGCCCUGGAUUAUAGAAAGCCCUGUACAGACUUUUGAUGGGGUGGCAGGGAGGCACAGCUUCGAGUGGGUAUAGGGGCUGCGUGAUGAGAUGCUUCCCAGUUUCCAGACUGAAACUGAACCAACCAUAGACCCCCACCUUCCCAGGCAUGACUGAGACACUGGAAGGAAAAAGGUAAUUAAAACACAACAAUCAAACCAACCUUUUUAAAUAGUAACUUUUAAAAAUAUAAAAAGCUUCAUUACAAUGAUGUUUCAAUUUUUCUUUUUUCUUCAGGAAUAACUCUCUUCCACCCUAACCCUCCCUUCUGGCUAGAGCCUUAACAAGUGGUGGCCAGUGAUCAUCUGAAACCCAGAGACAGAUGGACAGACUCCAGACAGGCAUGUCGACAUGCCUCUCAGGAAGGUGCGGGGUGCCACGGUCUUUCCAUGUCCCAACAUACAUCCUGUUCGGGGCAGCCGCUCAGUUGGAGCACUGGAGAUGGGCAGGUUUUAGACACCCUCAUCUUUCUUCCCAGACUGAGUCCCACAUUAUAAAAUAAUCCAUAAAAAUGCAAUAUAAAAACUCUCUUCCAUAUGCUACAUCCAUGGAAAGCCCACCAGCAGGGCUCACACGGUCUUUAGCUUUUCUUUAAUAAAACAACAAAAGACCAAAACAAAACAAAGCAAACCUAAUACCACAAACAUUGGUACCCUAGGGGUGAUAUCUGCAGAUGACAUUCCGUCUGCCCCAGCCCCCAGCCCGCUCCCCCGCCCAUCUUCUUAGACUUACGACCCUGGGGGUCACCAUAUCCCCGGCUUCAGGGAGCAGAAAGGGCUGAGAGCAGGAAAGGGGAGACGGCAUCUUAUCAAAGGAUAUCACUUCUAAUUAUUUUUAUUCAAAUUAAAAAAAAAAGCACCCACACCAGUUGCUGUUUUUCUCUGGUAGCUCCCUGAGCUGAGUCGCUUGUCUCCCUCCCACCCCCAUAUGGAAUCCUUUCUAGGCUGGCGGAGGAGAGUCAGAGAGGGAGUUCCCUUGAACUUCCAUUCCUCAUCACAAUGAUUGAGUGUGCACCAAAGAGAAAGAUGGGGUCCAGUGGGAGAGGCGAGCGGGGGGAGGGGGGCAGAAAGAGAUGGAGGUCAGGAGGUGUGAGGGCAAGGCAAGAGAAGAUGGAGCAGAGAAACCCACAGGAAAUCCUCGCUGUUCCUGUGGAUAAUAGCCCAAGCUGGCCCAUCCCAGUACUGUCUGUCCAUCAGCUUGUCUGUCCAUCUGCCUAUCAUUCCAUCUGAAGAUGGUGCUAAAACCCGUGUGGAGAUAUACUUCAGUCCCAGUGGGCCAGGCUGGUUUGCCCAUCCCCAGGAAGCUUCUCAUUCCACUCCCCGACUCUCUAUCUCUGCCUACUUUCCCCACAGAACAUCUGUUUAAAAAAAAUCUUAAGAAAAGAAAGAAAGAAAAGCCACCACCGCGAGUGGGUUACAAAUACAGCAGGCAAAAUACACGGCGAGCACUGGUGGGAAGGGGCCUCCUCCCUCACUGGCCAGUCAGCAACCACAGUCUCUUAUUUACAUUGUU